Bombina bombina (fire-bellied toad) is the source of this 241-nucleotide long non-coding RNA. RefSeq lists it as uncharacterized. The transcript is spliced from 3 exons. The record is from RefSeq and is a predicted model, not a curated record. Lineage: Eukaryota; Metazoa; Chordata; Amphibia; Anura; Bombinatoridae.
UCUAGCUACAACAGAUAGUAAGGGUGACAAGUUUUCUGAUUGUUGUCUGGACAUAAAGCACCAUUCACUGAACCUUCAUCCAAGUGUUGGAGACAGGGAAAGUCUCAUCAUUACAAGCUGCAGCCAGAGCCCAGAGAUUUAUGUUAAUGAGGAAGAAAUACACAAUCUGGAACCAAGGACGGAGAAUUUCAGGGCAGGUAGAGUCGGAAAGUUACUUGAAUUCAUAUAGAAGAAAUGCAUG